CAAAUACAUAAAGAUAAACACAAAAUACUUUGACCAGGGCGUGACAUGCUUUCUCUGACAUUUUUCCCAUCUUGGAAAAUGAGGAUAUUUCUUUCAUAAGAAAAUUGGCCAAAACAUCUUGAGCUGUGUUUUAGGUGUAAGGGAAGGGUCUGAGAUGUUUUGCCAUUUUGAAAAAUACUCAGAAGUCUGCUAAAUAAUUUGAACACAACUUUGAUUUGUUCCCUUUCCCUCCUACAGUGGGCUCAGCUACCUGUUCUAAAUAUGCUGUUUGAGUUAGAUUGGGGUGUUUGUGCCUCUGCUGUGUGUCCUAAAUAUGCUGUUUGAAAGAUGUUGAUGAAAAUGUGUUAUGAUGAAGCACUACCCUCUGAAGUUACAUUGUUAAUUUAUUGAGCUUUCAUUGUUAAGUUAAAGUUAAAAUGGCUCAUAAAGCUGUCCUCACUGCAUAAUGACUUCAAGAUAAGUUUGUCAUUUUUUUUCUCCAAAUUUUUAUUGGAAGCUGAACACUCAUGUGUAGGUGAAUAAUAGAAUCAGCUGACUGGCUCGCCCUUUUGCCCCUCCUCAGGUGUGUAUCCUCCUCCUCUCUCUACACUUUACUCUUUUCCCCCUCUCUGUCUCAUGUUUUCUCCUUAGUAAACACUUAAUUCUUCACUCUCUCUCUGUCCUCCCUAUGGGCCCCUCUCUCUCAUCCUCUCACCACACACUCCAUUGACUCCACUGUGGGGCAGUGCAGAGUGCAGACAGGUCUGAGCUGAUCCAGUCCUGCCAGCUGUAAUACUGUAGGCUGCUGGGUGCUGAAGUACUGUAUGUGCUGGUCCAUUUUACCAGUCUGGCCUGGCAUUCCCUCACACAUGUACAGCAGGCAGAGCGAAAGCGACAGCAGAGGAGGGAGCGAGAGAAGGGAAAUCAGAGAGGAGAAGGAAAGAGGACAGAAUGGACAGGAGAGGAACACUGUCUGCAGUCCUCCAGACUAGAGGGUUGUCAGGUGCUAGUGUUGGGGAAGUGGAGGGGAGAUGCAGGGGUGUUGUACUGGCUCUGACACUGCGGUAGGAGUUGGGUAGUGGGUGGAACCCCUGGUUGUCUGCUCUAGAUCUGCUGCCGCCACUGGGGGCAGAAUAGAGCUGGGAAAGAGAAGGAACUAUAACAAACACAGGCUGUCUGUGAAGGAGCUGCAGAGAGCAAUAUAGAGAAAGUUAUAUUCUUUCAACCAAAUGUCCCAGUGUUUUCCAGUCCAGUAGAUCUGUGCAGAGUCUCUGCUGCUCUCUUAUAGAUGAGCCCCAUCUGUCUUCUCUGUACUGGAGCUCUCUGCUGAUGACCAGCUGGUGACAAGCACCCAUGUGAUACAAGCACAUGUGCCAUGCACAAACACACACCGUUCAGUACACACACAGUAGGGCUCACACACACCGUACACACUUGAGUGGGUUGAGUCACUGACGUGAUCUUCCUGUCUGGGUUGGCGCCCCCCCCUUGGGUUGUGCCGUGGCGGAGAUCUUUGUGGGCUAUACUCGGCCUUGUCUCAGGAUGGUAAGUUGGUGGUUGACGCUAUCCCUCUAGUGGUGUGGUGGCUGUGCUUUGGCAAAGUGGGUGGGGUUAUAUCCUUCCUGUUUGGCCCUAUCCGGGGGUAUCAUCGGAUGGGGCCACAGUGUCUCCUGACCCCUCCUGUCUCAGCCUCCAGUAUUUAUGCUGCAGUAGUUUGUGUCAGGGGGCUAUGGUCAGUUUGUUAUAUCUGGAGUACUUCUCCUGUUUUAUCCGGUGUCCUGUGUGAAUUUAAGUAUGCUCUCUCUAAUUAUCUCUUUCUAUCUCUCGGAGGACCUGAGCCCUAGGACCAUGCCUCAGGACUACCUGGCCUGAUGACUCCUUGCUGCCCCCAGUCCUCCUGGCCGUGCUGCUGCUCCAGUUUCAACUGUUCUGCCUGCGUCUAUGGAACCCUGACCUGUUCAUCGGACGUGCUACCUGUCCCAGACCUGCUGUUUUCAACUCUAGAGACAGCAGGAGCGGUAGAGAUACUCCUAAUGAUCGGCUAUGAAAAGCCAACUGACAUUUACUCCUGAGGUGCUGGCCUGUUGCACCCUCGACAACUACUGUGAUUAUUAUUAUUUGACCAUGCUGGUAAUUUAUGAACAUUUGAACAUUUUGGCCAUGUUCUGUUAUAAUCUCUACCCGGCACAGCCAGAAGAGGACUGGCCACCCCUGAUAGCCUGGUUCCUCUCUAGGUUUCUUCCUAGGUUUUUGCCUUUCUGGGGAGUUUUUCCCAGCCCCCAUGCUUCUACACCUGCACUUUGAGAUAUCAGCUGAUGUAAGAAGGGCUAUAGAAAUCAAUUUGAUUUGAUUAGGGCUCACACACACCGUACAGUACACACACAGUAGGGUGCUCACACACACUGUACACACACAGUAGGGCUGGGAUGAUACCAGUAUCGCAUUAUUUCUUCCAUGGCAAAAAUGAAAACACAAAGCAGAUAUCAUGGCACAGAUGCAGACACAGGAGGCAGAUGGUUGGAGUAUUACAAUGUUUAUUAAUCCAAAGGAGUAGGCAAGAGAAUAGUCGUGGACAGGCUAAUACCAAUGGGUACCGAAGGGCAGGCAGAAUCAAGGUCAGGGCAGGCAGGAUGAUCAGGCAGGCACAAAAGCAGUCCAGAGCCAGGCAGGGGUCAGAACCGGAAGGAUUAUAAAAAGAGAAUAGGAAAGGAGUACGGGAAAAACACGCUGGUUGACUUGACUAAACAUGCAAGACGAACUGGCACAGAGAGACAGGAAACACAGGGAUAAAUACACUGGGGAAAAUAAGCGACACCUGGAGGGGGUGGAGACAAUCACAGGAACAGGUGAAACAGAUCAGGGUGUGACAGCAGACUAAACUCUUUUUUUUUAAUGCUGUAUGUAAACUAUUGUGUGCUAUAGCUUUAAAAAAUACAACAAUUUGACUCUGGAGGACAAAAUAAUGAUGUUUGUUUCCAACAUUAGGGCUGUUUUCCUAAAGAAGUUAAAUCUGCGUCAUAUUUUGUUUCCUUGCCAUGAUACUAACACGUUUCGCGAUACUGGUAUCGUCCCGGCCCUAACGCACACACACACAUCCUACAUUUCCACAGCACACUCAGGUUGACCAGUAGCUAGAUGUGUCAUUAAUUCAUAUAAACUCGGACAAAUGCCAAGUAUGACACACAUACGGCCUCUUGCCUCUUACUCACACUCCUCCUCAUGCCCACAAUAUCAUGCAGCUUAUCAACCUACACAUUCACACUCUCCCUCCUACACACACUAUGACUAUGUUCUUCUUAAUCUAGUGUCUCUCUGUCUCAACUCUUUGCUGCAGUGGGUCGUGCUGAGGAUCAUAUUGGGGACAGCUGUGUUCCAGGUUAUAUGAGGGAAGUGGGACAUAUGGGCAGCUGUGAUGUAACCACAGGAGGAGAGGAGGAAGUCAGGGAGGGAGGGACAGCCAUGUUUGUGACAGGCCCACUGGGACAGACAGACAGAUCUGGCACUGUGGUUCUGUUCUGGUCCUCAUGGAGAUCUCUGGUUUACCUGUCUCUCUCCCAGGAUGUUAAUACCUCCAGGGUGUUGGGGUGUGUGCGCACUAGGGUUGAAUAUUUUCCAAGUAUUUUACAAAUGUUCCAGCCUGAGAUUAUAUCACUUUUCUCCCAGGUAAUUCGGUGUGUCAUUCAAAAGCAUAUACAUAUGUCUGGAUUUGAUUAGGGCUUUGAUCAGCAUGAACAUUCAGACCUGAUGCUACCUGAGCCUAAUGAGCCAUAUAUUAAGUACAUUUUAGGAGCCCUACAUUAACAACAUUUAAUGAGCCCAAGCCCCAAAUAGCUCAAAUGAUUGUGUCGUUAUCCAAUACAUAUAUGAUAUAGGCUACUGCACAUUAUGCACAUCAUAAAAACUUAAAACCCCAUAGAUGUAGCUAGAUAUAUGAUCUCUUGGGUAAAUAAAUUAAACUAGCUCCAGUAAGCUUUGUUUUUUUUAGUGUGAACUGUAUUACUGUACUGUGUUGUUUUAUAUUGACUGGAAUAACAUCAUGAUAGAGCAGAAGAGAACAUGCGUUUCUAGUGCAGCACAUGCACACAAUUUGAUUUGAAUUUUUAAAUAUAAUAGGCCCUAUUUGUAUAAUUAGUAGGCUGAUGUAUAUACACCUUUCAUAAUAUUUCCCUUAAUGUUAUUAGCCUACCUCCUCUUUCUCUCUCUAUUGUUGCUUCAUUCAUUCCUCGCUUUCAACAGUUAAAUGAAAUACAUUUUGUUGUCAUUCUGAUGACAUCCUUGAAUAAUAUUAGACUAAAAUUAGAUGCAGAAGGCUUUCACUUCUCUUCACGAAGAUUGAAUGGUUAUGGGUCUGAAUAAAUAACUGCUUUAGCCUACUGCCGUUGUGCGCGUUCACUCUUCUUUCCAUCUACCGGCGAGUUCUAUUGGCGGCUGUAUUUAACAUUCAGCAAAAAAAGAGCUUGAGUCCCUCUUCGAAUAGUCUAUUGGUAUAAGAAAUACCAAUACCAAUAUUCUAGUCCAGCUUUUCCUGCAUGGGACUCCAAGAGCUAAGGAGCACUUUUUAAGGAGAGAGGCCAGCAAAGCACAGGUAUGUGUGUAUUGCGCAAGAGACAGAAGCUAUAAGUUAGAAACUUAUUGUGCAUAACCCAUCAUUAAUUAGCUAAAUAUAAGGCUAAUGCAUUGAAUGUAUUACCUGAAAGAGAUAGGACAUCUCUAUAUAAGGCUAUAUAUUUUAAGUUGAUGGAGCGAGAGAAAGACAGAGAGUGUUUGUGCAUGCCCGAUAAAGCAACGAUAUUCCAGUGAUAGGCUGUUUUAAAACUCUGCAGCUGCAAUAAAAAAACAGACUCUUUAAAAUAACAAAACAAGGUGACCCCCGAAAGCCAGAUGGAGAUGGGUAAAUUAGAUGCGCAUUCUGUCUUUAUAUUAGCAAAUGUAGACCUACCUGUCACAAGAGAAAAGUUACCAUGAUGAGAUGAUCGUUCUACAUGCAUUGUGAACUACACUCCAUACUGAGAUGGGCUGUCUGUCCCCACCCUGAGUGUUGAUUCAUCAUGCAGAGGCCCUAGAGAAGCCAGCUUUAGCCAUUGCACAUAAUUUAACAGUUCCAUUUCAU
This is a long non-coding RNA of Oncorhynchus tshawytscha (Chinook salmon), 5089 nucleotides long. NCBI's taxonomy places the organism in Eukaryota, Metazoa, Chordata, Actinopteri, Salmoniformes, Salmonidae. The record is from Ensembl.